Molecule: ribosomal RNA, 497 nt
Filed under: uncultured bacterium
Lineage: Bacteria
Description: partial 16S ribosomal RNA
Rfam family: Bacterial small subunit ribosomal RNA
Source: RNAcentral
GAUGAACGCUGGCGGCGUGCCUAAUACAUGCAAGUCGAGCGAAAAGACGAGGAGCUUGCUCCUCUGACGUUAGCGGCGGACGGGUGAGUAACACGUGGAUAACCUACCUAUAAGACUGGGAUAACUUCGGGAAACCGGAGAUAAUACCGGAUAACAUGUUGAACCGCAUGGUUCAACAGUGAAAGACGGCUUUGCUGUCACUUAUAGCUGGAUCCGCGUCGCAUUAGCUAGUUGGUAAGGUAACGGCUUACCAAGGCAACGAUGCGUAGCCGACCUGAGAGGGUGAUCGGCCACACUGGAACUGAGACACGGUCCAGACUCCUACGGGAGGCAGCAGUAGGGAAUCUUCCGCAAUGGGCGAAAGCCUGACGGAGCAACGCCGCGUGAGUGAAGAAGGUCUUCGGAUCGUAAAACUCUGUUAUUAGGUAAGAACAAAUGUGUAAGUAACUAUGCACGUCUUGACGGUACCUAAUCAGAAAGCCACGGCUAACUACGUG